UACGUAGGGGGCAAGCGUUGUCCGGAUUUAUUGGGCGUAAAGAGCGUGUAGGCGGCUAGGUAGGUCCGUUGUGAAAACUCGAGGCUCAACCUCGAGACGCCGAUGGAAACCAUCUAGCUAGAGUCCGGAAGAGGAGAGUGGAAUUCCUGGUGUAGCGGUGAAAUGCGCAGAUAUCAGGAAGAACACCCGUGGCUAAGGCGGCUCUCUAGUACGGUACUGACGCUGAGGAACGAAAGCCAGGGUAGCGAACGGG
This 253-nucleotide ribosomal RNA is filed under the name uncultured bacterium. Its description in RNAcentral is "partial 16S ribosomal RNA". It matches the Rfam family "Bacterial small subunit ribosomal RNA", at positions 524 to 776 of the family's 1533-position model. The record is from RNAcentral.